UACGGAGGGUGCGAGCGUUGUCCGGAAUCAUUGGGCGUAAAGGGCGCGUAGGUGGCCCGGUAAGCGUGCGGUGAAAGCUCGGGGCCCAACCCCGAGUCGGCCGUGCGAACUGCUGGGCUUGAGCACUGUAGAGGCAGGCGGAAUUCCGGGUGUAGCGGUGGAAUGCGUAGAGAUCCGGAAGAACACCGGUGGCGAAGGCGGCCUGCUGGGCAGUAGCUGACACUGAGGCGCGACAGCGUGGGGAGCAAACAGG
Molecule: ribosomal RNA, 253 nt
Filed under: uncultured bacterium
Lineage: Bacteria
Description: partial 16S ribosomal RNA
Rfam family: Bacterial small subunit ribosomal RNA
Source: RNAcentral